This 15147-nucleotide long non-coding RNA is filed under the name Eucalyptus grandis. Its description in RNAcentral is "long non-coding RNA (EGRA_LNC006966)". The record is from RNAcentral. Lineage: Eukaryota; Viridiplantae; Streptophyta; Magnoliopsida; Myrtales; Myrtaceae.
CUGUAGCCACCCAGUAUCUGUUUGGGACAGCCACAUUGCUGGUAGAUAUAUAUAACAAAAUAGUUGAAAUUCCUCCCGACUGUGAAGUGAUCAUGAGACCUGGCAUUCAUUAGACAAGCCCUCACCUCGAAGAGGUUGGUCUAAAGCUGUAUUAUUUCCCUUUCCAUUUUUUGCCAAUGGAUACAUUACUAUUAUCUAAUUUAGGCACAAAAGGAUUCACGUCCGUGUCAGAACAUUUUUUUGGAUGCUUUUGGACAACAAAUUACUCAUAACUACGCUGUUGGUUAUGCUCCCUAAAAGUGAUGGAGCAUCGUUUGACGUUGAUGCUUUAGUUUUGGGGGUGGGUUGUUACUGCAUAUUGAUGGGGGAAGAUGGAAAGUGGAUGAAGAGCGGAAUAAAAUUUUUCCCUUGAAUGUCUCUUAGCACAUGCGUAUUAGUAGUCUAUAGUAUUCUUUUGGCUAAAAGCGGUGUAUACCAUCUAAAGGUGCCACCAGCACUCUGUAAGUCAUUACAUCUGCUUGGAGGUGAAGAGAAUAAAAUCAGGAGAAGACUCUGAAAUUUCAUUGAUUGUGCUGAGAUGAUUAAGGAUUAUAUUAGGGUCCUAUCUGUUUCUCUUCUUUCCUCAAUUUGCAGAAGAGUUUUUGCAGUUGUCCUACAUAUUGUUUCUAUUCAUUUUGCCAGUUCGUUGACUCUCAGAAUUUAACUUUGUAUAGAGGUAUUGUAGAAACUAAUUUAGGUUGCAUAUGCUGGAGAAGGAUUAUUUUCACAACAUUAUUCCUAGAUAGGCUAAGAGCUUUCUCAUGCAGGUCGAACAGUAAACUUUUCAGUUACAUGAAAUUGCUUUGUCCUUCCCCCUUAAUGAACAUGUUGCAUAAAUUUGCUGUGGUAGCUAACCAGUGCUUCUCCUCCUAUUUUCCUGUUAAGAAGAAAACUAAUGGAAUACCAUUGUAAUAGGGGAGAAUUUAAGAGUUACAUAUCAUGUCCAGUUUCUCAUAGAUUGUAGUGGAGAGGAAGACAGUGAAAAGACCCCAGAUACUGCAUUCCUGAAUAAGAAAUCUGCUUUUAUUCAGCUUGCGGAAGAAAGCCCAGUAACCAAAACGAUUGUUUUCUGUAACAAGGUAUGUUGAUCUUUCAAUAAAGACUGCUUGAAAUUGACUCAUCAUUACAUUUCCUUCUCUCUCCUGACCAUCGCACUGACUCUUGACCUGGAGCUUGAGAGAAAUUUCUGAAGCCACUGAAUGGAGGAGUCAUCAUUACUUUGUCCUCUUCUCCAUAUACAGAUUGAGACAUGUCGAAAAGUUGAAAAUGCAUUGAAGCGCAUUGACAGAAAAGGUGCUGAUACACGAGUUGUACCUUAUCAUGCUGCUGUUUCACAAGAGUUGUGGUAGGCAAAUAUGAAAGAGUUUGCUGCUUCUCCAUCCAAAGAUGUCUCCUUGUGUUUGGUUUGCACCGACAGGUAUGUAUAGAUGCGUUGUGCGAUAUCAAUCAAACUAUGCUUCUAGAAAUAGAUCUGCUUUGCGGCCGAGCUUGAUCCCUAAAAGUAGGCCUCAAGUUAAACUGUGCAUAACCUGCCUAGACCCAGGCCUUCAGUUCUCAGUUCAAGCUUGCACAUGUAAUAAUGGAGUCAGUCUCAACAAGAAUUAGAUGAAAAUAGUAAUGGCUGGGAUAGGCCUUGUUCUGUCUUGUGGGUUUUGUGAAUAAUUGGGAUAGGCAAGAGCUGAGUUUUAGCUAACACUCGAGGCACUCUCCUGGUCGUUUUAGCAAAGCGAGGCGAUGUCUCUGCUACUCACGUCAUCUCAGGCAAGGUUUCUUCAUUUAAGGUAAGCACCUGAGAUGAGGUGCUCCUCCUCUGAGGCAUUGCCUCAGAAAAGAUUUGUCUAGGUUAACGUCAUUGCACCAGUUCAAUUUGUGCUACGAUGCAGACCUAAUAAUUUGUUUGUUGAUGGAUUAAUCCCCACUUCUUACUUGGCACCUCUCAUUGUUCAGCCUAGUGCCUGAGGCACUAUGGGGUCUAAGUCUCUUAACAGCGCCUAGUGAUUAUAACGGCACUGUUUGCAACACGGUCAAACGAAAAGCAGAGCAGGGUCACUGGAUACACAUUAAUUAACCUAAGACAUGUCACUCUCAUCUUUCCUUAGGCAUUUGCAAGAUCCUGAUGACUUUUCAACCAUAUGACAGGUCGUUACGAGGACUCGACUUUACUGGAGUGGACCAUGUUAUUCUGUUCAACUUCCCGCGCGAUCCAAGCGAAUAUGUCUGCCACAGAGAGAGGUGCUGGAGGGAAGGGCAAAGCGUUCAUCUCUACAGCUGGGAAGCAAGUUUCCCUGGCAAGAAGGAUAAUGGAGAGAAACUGGAAAGUUCAUCCCUAGCAUGAUGUGCCCUCCGCUUAUAAGUUGAUGAGACGUUCGUGCACUGAGCGGGAUCUGAGUUUAUGACGGGAGUAGAUCCCAUCGGUCCAUUCUAUUUUUCCUGCAUGUUACGGAGGAGCAGCGCGAGACAAGAAGUGAAAACGUAAAGGGAGUUGUUUGGUUAGAAUCUGGUUCUCCCAUUUUGCAUCUCCAUGUUGAGGGGAUCACAGAAGCGUCAAUACAAUGAAGAGCUUGAUAUCAAGGUUCAAAACUUAUAUAUUUUUGUCUUUAUUCAGUUCAUUGUCGAGGAGGAUUGAUGCUCCCGAGGAUCGAGACCUAGUUAAGAAGUCUCGGAGGCCCAUAUUGUCUGAAGUUGCACUUUGUUGAUAGUGAAUAUGCAAUGAUAGGAAAGUUCGGACCGUAUCCCCUAUUGGAUGCAAUGAAUAUAUAAAAUGACCUGCUAUAGCAUGUUACUGAGUGUUACGGUAUAAGAAGCUAAUUUACGAGCACAAAAUAUAAUUUACAAACUUUAUACUGCAUAGCCAACUUUACAUUCAAGCUAAAUUACUCAAAAGGUAAAUUAAAUUACUUCCUCUAAAUGUAAAUGACAAAGAGCUGUCCGAUUUAGUGAUUUGUUACUUCGACGUGUCCAAAAUAUAUUAAAAUUCUAUUCUUCUCUCAAUGAUUGCAUGAGUCAGGCCCAUGGUAACCAGUGGGAGAUUCACGAUGCAGUUACGGACUUUGAAGAAGAGAGAGGAGAGAAUGUGGGAGGGAAUAAGUACGUCGAGAUAGUAAGGGGUGCAUGAUAACCAAAAUUUCUGUUUUAGAAAUAGUUUUUUUGUUCCAAACCUAUUUCUGGAAGAGAAAUCCGUUUGAUAAACCUAUUCAGUUUUUCUAUUUCUGGAAUAGAUUUCUAUUUCAGAAAUAGCAGAAAUAGGUUUGGAAGAGAAAUCAGAAGCUAAAAUUUUAUACUUUUCUAUUUCUAUAAUAGAAAUCAGAAAUAAAAAUUCUUCUCAUCGUUCGUCAAUUUGUCCUUCGUUGUCGCUGACCACCGUUGUUGGUCGCUCGCUGCCAUCGCCGCCGUCGCCGCCGCCGCCGGUCGCUGCCGCCAUCGCCGGUUGUUGCCGCCACCAGUUGCCGCCGCCGCCGGUCGCCAAUCGCUACCGCCGCCGGCCGCCAGUAUCCGGACGCCGGCCGGCGUACGCCGGACGCCGGACGCCGGACGCCGGAUGCCGGCCGCCGGCCGGAAAGGAAGAAAUUUAGUGUCGUUAUUAAACGAAUUUCUAUUUUUAGAGUAGAAAUUUUGUGUCAUUAUCAAACGGUUAAUUUUGCUUAAAAACUCUUCUAGAAAUAGAAAUAGAAAAAUCUAUUUCUGUUUCAGAAAUUAUUUCUAAAACAUAAUGGUUGUCAUGCACCCCUAAGACACUGCGGGAGCUCAAGAAAUUCAAAGAAGCAGCCUACCCAUUCACGGACAAGUUCUUCACUCUCCUUCACUCAGUGAAUGAGCAGCAGGCAGAGAUGUUGCAGGAGUUGCAGAGUUGUAAGAAGAAGCUUGCCAAAAAAAAUUAAAUCUGCACAAGCUUGCAGAAGGGUGACCAAUGCCAUAUUUGUGACCGGCUUCGUGGCCACUGGGAUCUUCUCAGUCGUUGCAGUUGCGAUCGGUGCACCGCCUGUUGUGAUUGCUGUAGCUACUGCUCUGACAGCUCCAAUAGGGACAGUCGGCGAGUGGUGUUACUCUCGGUGGAAAAAAUACCAAAGGAAACUUUAAAAAAAAAGGGAGUUGGUUAACUUAAUGACUGCGGGAAGUGGAAUUAUGAUCUCAAUCAAAGAGUUGGAGACGAUUGAAUCGCUUGUGAGUAAGCUGGAAACUGAGGUUGAGUCGAUCGUGCAAAAUGCUGACUUCGCUCUUGGAGAAGAACAGGAAGAAGCGGUGAAGCGUGGAGUGUUGGAGAUCAAGAAAAGGGUGGAAGAUGUCAUGGCAGAUAUUGAUGUUCUCUGGAAGCAAGCUGAUAAGAGUAGGCGUGAUAUAGAGUGGGCGAGGAAAGUGAUAGAGCAUAAAUUAAAUACAUAUUCCAGCCAUUAGUUCUUUUUUUAUGCUUAGAAAGUUAACAGUCAAUGCAGUUCACUGUCUUAGAUGAACAUUGUGUUGCAAAGAUCUUCUCGGUUUUUUCCUUUUGGUCGAACCUGAUCUGCCAAUGUGGUCUCAACCAAUUCAUACAAAUAUUAGGAGUAUAGAGAUUAUGAAGCAGUUAUACAUUGGUGUGCUUCAUAAUGCAGAUGCCUUUCUCUGGGAUAACUUUUACCUCUUCGCUUCGUCCUGUUAAUCUAGCUGCUAUUGCUGAUUUGUUUGGUUGAUUCACUGAGAGAGAAAAAAUUGAUUCAAGCGUUACACUAAUGUGGUUUUCCAAUUCAUUCUAAAUGCGACAUAUUAACAAAAUUCUGUCAUUUGCCAGUAAUAAUAUAUGGAGGGACACCAUAAACUUUGGAGUCUCAUACCACAUUUUGCUUAUGGAGUGUCAAGUAAUCUGAGGAUGCCAAAAUAUUGGGGUUGCUGAGAUGCAUCUCUUGGCAGUUAAUUCAUUGUGGAAAACCAUUAGCAAAACUAGCCUGUUCUACAACGACAGGAUAAUUUGCACGGCUGUUGUAAAAUCUCUUGGCUCUUAACAGUUUAGUUCUUCAAGUUUAACUACCAAGUCGCACAACUACUGCGAAAAGUACCUUAUCCUUUAUUACUCUCAUCGGUCAUGUCAUUUACCAGUGUAUUUUGAUGAAGGAAAAUGAAGUGAUCUGAGAGCCUGUGCAUAGCCUGAAAGGUACUUUAGCGUCAUCUCUCAAUGAAGAAACGCUAGUGUAAUUGUUUAGAUUCUCAAGUGUGAAAGUAUUAACUACAAAAAGAUGUCAGAAAUGGAUGGACCGAUUGUUCCUCUCGUCAUCUGCUAAACCAUGCAUCCCUUGAACUACAAAAUUUCGGGGACUGAAUAAAGUCAGUUGCAUCCGCAAUAUUCAUUCAGCAUUUCCGACAAUUUCAUGGAUUAAAAUGGAAAGAGUUCCAGUGGCACCAUAAAGUUCGGUAACAAAAUGCCAAUGUCAUUCUAAGCUCAGCAGCAUCCCUCACGAAACACUGCGAGUGGGCGAUGCGUUAGUAACACUCAAAAGAUCUAGAAUUUCUUCCUCCAGGCAUCACGUUGAACAAGACCCACACUAGCUGUUAACUAUCAUCUACCACGGGUCAUGCUGUUGAAACUGCUCUCUGAUUGGAUUGGCCUUACAUACUAAACAAGAACUGAAGACGAGAUAAAUCGAAACAAGAAAUGCCAAACUUCAGAAGUUCCAAUAAUCAGAUGAAGAUCUUGAGAUUGGCCUGCUCGUGAGACACAAAUCCAACAUGCAGUCAUGCAAUAGUCUCCCUCAUUUCUGAAUAUGGUACUAGUUAAAAUAUGGUACUUCAAACCACUCACUGACAAAAGAAACCUGCAAAAAUGAACUAAAACCUUCAUUCUCACAGCUACUUUCAACAGGUAGAUGGCAGAAUCACAAAAAAUGAAUCACAUUUUGCAUUUGAGAGAUACUAAACACGAGCAUGAGCAUCUGCUAACACUGAAGCAAGACCUGAAUACACAUCAAAUCAACAAAUUCAUGACCCCAGACAUGAUGAUUUGCUCUUUAUUGUUCUUUCCUUUCCUGUCCGUCCACCUCAUAUACGUCGUCGUCGUCAUCCUCAUCGUCAUCUACAUCCUUAUCUGCAUCCUCAUCAUCAAAUAUAGAACUACGAGGAAAUCUGCUCAGUUCACGCUUCUCAUCUUCUUCAGUAAGAAAUUCCAGCCCAUAUUUUGUGUCUCGGUGCUUCACAAGGAGCCAGCGCAAUAAUCUGUCUUCCCUAUUCAAGUAAUGCAGCUCUUUGCUCAUCAUUGGUGAAGCCAUCAUGGUCAACUGCAUCAUCUGACCUUGCAUGAUGUGAUAUCAGUGUCUGGAUCAAAGAAAUCAACAUGAGAGAAAUAGCCAGAGACCUAGAAUCCUCUUUCCUCCACAAGGUAAAAGUGCAACCAACUAAAUAUCAUCUUACUGCUUCAUCAGGAAGAGUAGCAGAUAGAGAGCCCAUCCAAACAGUACAUAUUACUGCCAGGACAAGGGUAAAUUACACUAUACAUCACUCAACUUUUAACUUUCAAAUAGAUCACUCAACUUUCAAGUUCAGCAUAUAGAUCACUCAACUUUGGGUUCGUUCUCCAUAAGGUCACUCUGUUGACUAGCUGUUCAAAUCCCAUUAGAAGUUUGACCUGGCAUCAUUGUAAUAUUGACACGGAAGGCGCCUGUGUUUUUAUUAGACUUUCAUUGUAGGUCAGUCAACUUGCUUUGCCACUCACUCAACUUUAGAUAAAUUUCAUUUCAGUCACCAGACUUUAAUAUUGAACUCAUACUGCCAUUUCAAAUUAAUAUCAAAAUCAGAUUAAAAUUAUCAAAACCAGCUGUCGAAUCAGGGUUCCAAUGAGUUUUACACAGGUCAAUCACCAGAGUUAUUCCAUUGAAAGCAAAACCAAAGUGAAUGAAAGUUUGAAAAUGAAUAGCCACUUCGAAAGUGAGUGAAUAGUAGAGUGAACUCUGGUGUGAUUGUCCUGCCAGACCAACAUUGCAAAAUUAAAUCUUCCAUCAAUUGCUACGGUAGCAAUGGAUUAACUUAGAUGAAAAAAAUGAUCAUGGUAAGUAUUAACAGCAAUAAGCUUGGAUGGUAACAGCAUCAGUGCAAAACCGAACAUACAACUCCAAUCCAGUAUUGGAUUUCCUCAUAAGCUAGUUAAUAUUUGUUCCAACAUAUCUGCCUGCAUAAUUACCAUCUCCUAUGGCUUCCACUCCUAACAUAAGGCAAGGACCCAGCCGAAGACAUCAUCACAUUAUGAGAUUUUCUAAUAAGCUAGCAUAAUUUUGCUCGACAUAUGUGCCAACAUAAUCAAUUUCUCCUGCAGCUUGCUACUUCAAACAUGAGGGAAAGAGCCAGCCAAAUACAUGGUCGCGUUAAGCAUUCCAGUUGUGAAACCUAAUAGAUUCAGCAUUUCUGCAUCAUCUUCUGUCAAUAUUCUGUUACGUUAUCUUGUUCUAGAGAGUACUCUCUGUCAUUCUAUCAAACCAAAUAGCUCAUUUGUAGCUUCCAAGUUACAUAAACCAGGAAUUUAAACAAAGAAGAUGAAUCAAAUCCAAUUGCAUAUCACAAGCAAGCAGAAGGGCUCGAAUUUUAACAGAAGAAUCACCUGAAAGAAUCGCCCAUCAAGCUUCUUGAUACCAUAACCCUACUGGACCGUCCCGCAUGAUUUUACCUCAGUGACGACCCCGUUUUUCUUAUAGACGUCUCUUCCUAUCCGAGCCACCAUAUCCAUCGAAGCUUCCUUCUUGACAUGGGGUUCAGCAAAAGCACGCAGUCAAACAGAGGCUUUUUUUUUUUUCUUCUCCCCCCCCCCCCCCCCCCAAAACCCGUCUUCAGCUGAACUUAUCUUCUAGACUGUCAAGAAGAGUUAUUCCAUCAAAUCAAAUGAGCGGAUGACACGCAAAUCGCUAUGGAACUGCAAGUACUACUAAAUCUAUAGCCAUCACUACUAGAACAUGAAAAGAUAAGUAAUCAGACACGCUAGAGAUCAGGUACUCUCGGAUCAAGCCUGAAAAGAACAGGGUCCCUGAAAAUAUAAUAAUAUAAUCGCGUGAGGUAAAAUAAUGAAUGAAAUGUCUAUUGAUCUAGGCAUUUCAUCAAACAGAUAGAAUGAAUUUUAACCGAAUGAGGCAACAGAAUCAACCACCAAUGAGGGAGCAAGAAGGCGCCGGGGGAGACGGAGAAGCUCUGGAGGCGGCGGAGAGGCGUAGGAGGACGAACUAUGGAGGCGGCGAAGAGGCGGCGGCGGAGGAAGAGGAACCCUGGUGGAGGCGGUGAGAUGAGGAGCAAGUGGGGCCCAACGAUUUAGUCAUUUUUCAACCCUGACUUUUGGUAACAAUUGUAUUGAGUAAGGCUAAAAGAAGGAAAAAAAAAAAACCAAGAAAUUUAUGGAAGUUUAAUGUUAAAUCGAAAUGUGAUAAAAAGUAUCGAGACCGUUUAGGUGUCAAAAAUGAAAGCAUAGAAUGUCUUAAUCUCGAGUCUUGUGUAUUAAUUAAGGAGUAGGAUCAAUUUUAGCUAUUGAAUGAGAUAAAAGAUAUAAAGAGUAUCAUAAAAAUUUAUAUUGAACCGAUACAAUCUUUUAGACAUAUUAUAUGAUAUAUUGCUUUGUGUUGAGGUAAAAUUUCGAACUUAUGGAAGAUUCCAUGUAUUGUGUUUAUCGUGGUUAUGAAGUAUUAAAAGCUAUUCCAUAUUAAAAAAAUCUAUCACAAGAAAAAUUAAUUUAAAAGAUUUUGAUUAGCUUGAAUUCAACAAAGAAGUAUUUCCUACAACAUGUUUGCUCUAUUUUCGUUUUCUAUUAAGGGCAUGGGGAAAUAUCCCCUACUCGCCUCUCUAUGGCUCCAUGGAUGUUUUUGUGUGAUAAGAAAAGUGAGAAAAACAAAUUUACUAGUUUUUAUUGCAUAAAAAUUAAUGAUUUGAAAAAUAUUUUUCUAUCUCGUGACCAUCUUGUAUGAGCAUUGUCAAGAUUUGACGGGUUUAGGAAUAAUGCCAAAAGCAUACUAAUGGUUCCAAAACGACUUGAGUCAUUUUGAACCUUUAUCUCGCUUGACAUUGGGAAACUAUAAUUGAAAUAGAUAAAUUCAAGAAGUCCAACUUAAACAAAGUAGUGCACUAGCCUAUUAAGACUAAUUAGGAGCCAAGCAAGGCAUGGGAUGACACCUCACUCGUUAAUAACAUGUAUCGAGACAGUAACCUCCAUAAGCUAAGUUCGAGUUAAGUCAAAUUUCUUAUUCAAGAGAUCAAUCUACCUAAACCUAAGCUAAAUCAAAGAUACUCAAUAAAAUCUCUAAACUAAUCACAGAAUGUAAUAUAUUAACGUGGAUGGAGUAGUGACGUAAGAUGAAAUUUAUCCCAAAUGAAUAUACAUUCCAAAUUUGGAAAAGCGGAGUACUUUUCAAACUUAUUUCCUUGGUCAAAGAGGCCCAAAAAUUUUGAAUCUAUUCAAUGGUGUCUCUGACUAGUGAAAAAAUACAUAUAAAUUUAGCGAAAAUACUCCCAUAAAAAUUAUAGUCUCUAUUAGAUUAUUAUAUCUCAUUAUGUGAGUUAAUUUCAGAAAAUUCCUUUCCUCAUAUACUAAUAUAUUGCCAAAUGAAGUUAUAGUGGUGAUAUUGCAAUAAAUUAGGGAAUGCCUUGAAAUAUUCGAUGAUACUCUCAAAUGUGUUGUGGCAAUACGUUUAGAGGAGUUCCUCUUUCCUUUUCGUAUAUAUUAUUUUUUAGUUAGGUUUACAAAAUUUACAAAUACGCAUCAAAUUGGACUGAAAAUAAUUGAUCGAAAACUUCGAUAAGUUCCUUAUCAAGACUUCAAAGAAUCUAUGGGUCUUAGUCGAGUGUCGAAAAGUGUCGGAGAAUAUUAAAUAUGUAUUGAAAUGUUUGACAUAAAAUGGAAGCUCUUGAAAAUUGUCGAUGCUUCCUAGGUUACUAAUUCUUUUCCUCACAUAUUGAUAAACUGCAUAAUGAAGUGAUCGUCAAUAUAUCACAAUAAAUCAUGGAAUGCCCUGAAAUAUUCAAUUACACUCUCAAAUGUGAUGUGGUAGUAGUAACUUUGUAUGGCUUCAUUUUUCGUUCUCGUAUAUAUUAAUUCUUAGUCAGGAGAAAAACUUACAAAAUAUAUUAGUAUGCACCAAAUUAGAUUGAAAAUAAUAGAUCGAAAAAUCUCCAUCACUUCCUUAUCAAGACUUCAAAAAAUCUAGGCCUUAUAAAAUUUCAGUAAUACAUUUUAUAUCUUUUAUCUGUGGGCCUUCCUUCUUAAAAUCGACCCAUUAAUAAUUAAAAUUCAAAACUUAUGGUACGAUGUUUGGAUAGUUUAUAUCUUUGAAAACUUUCUCCAGAAAAGAUGUCAAUUUUCAAUGUAGUGUUUUAUUUCGAGUUCUUCCAAUAUAUCCCGAAAGUCGUCAAUUUUUUUUUUUUUUGGGAAAAGAUAAAUAUAAGCCCUCGUGCCAGUGUUAUUUUUUUUUAAAUUUUUUUAUUAUAUAUAUAUAUAUAUAUUUAAAAAAAAAAAAUUGGAGUGGUUUUGGGGCUUAAAAAAAAAAAAUCUUCAUCUUCGUUAUCAUCGUCAUCUUCUUCAUCUUCAUUUUCUUAAUUUUUCUGGGCAUGCACGAUGAUGCUAGCGAAAGCUCCUUCUCCUUCCAUCAGCCUCAACUCCACACCCUCCACCUCCACCUCCACCUCCGUCGCGUACCCUUUCUCCUUCCGUCCCCGUCUCCUCGCCUCCCGGGCCCUCGGCGAUCGCCGCCGCCGCCGCCCCCGCCUUCCCGGCGGCGGGACUCGUAAUUUCGCCGUCCGGUCGGGGGGCUACACGAGGACGCCCUUGGACACUCCGGGGGCCUACCAGCUGAUCGACGACGAGACGGGCGAGCGUUUCAUCGUCUGGAGCGGCAGCGACGACCCGGCCGACUCCCGGGCUCCGCCCGAGGACGUCCUCCGGUGGAAGCCCGCGAGGAAGAGCGGCGGCGGCGGUUCUAGUGGAGGUGAUGCUUCGCUGCGAAUUGAGUCUUUGGUCAUGUGGACGAUUGGGUAGUAUUUGGUUUUAAGAGCGUGGCAGAUAAAGGGGAUUUGUGUCUUACUUUCGCUAUCUUUUUGGGACGAUGGUUUGAUGUUACUAGCGCACUCUCUUUUGGGUUGCUGAGCUGAAAGUUAGGUUAGGUUAUUAUUAUUAUUAUUAUUAUUUAUUAUUUAUUUAUUAUUUAUUUAUUUAUUUUUUUUUUUUUGGGUGUAUGCAUUGUUGAUAAUUGGUACCUGAGCCGUUGGAACAACUCAAGCAAUUUGUUAUAUUCAUUUCAUGCUGUGCAAAUGCCAAAGCUGAACUAUUGUGUUCAGAUGCAUAACUAAGUCCAACACUAGUUCUUCUUUUGGAGCUUAUUUGAAUCAUGCAGUCUUGGGCAGAAGAUUUUGGUUUUCUUAGUUUGGCUCGAAAACAAAUAUAUGCAAACAAGAUAGAAAUUUCUCUCCCAUUUCAAUCCGUGUUGGACUUUCUCACAGCAUACUUAAUCCCUCUGUGUAACGUGUAAAGUCGGAGCUUGGAGAUGAAUUUGUUUUUACAUCGAUAAAAUGAAAUCUGACAGUCAUUUCUUUUGCAGGCAAUCAUCAUGGGUCAACGCUGCCAAAAGAUGAUUCUCCUGCAGCAAGUGUGAGGGGCAGAAGUUUUGGACGAUUGAAAUCGCAGAGAGUCAAAGCUCUUGCUGAAAAAUCUUCCAAGCUAAAGGAAGCGAGUCACAAGGAUUAUGAACAAGAAAUAGAAAAUGUGCCUUUUGAUGUGCCUGAUCUCUCUUAUUCCAAAUUGGACCAACAGGGGAAAAGGAAGGAAGCAGCUAUCAUUGGACUUAAAGGAAAGGAUUCGGGUGCUUACCGAUCCAAAGCUGCCAAAGACACUGCAGGGAGGACUGACACUGCAGAUGUGGAUCAUUCAGCGUACCGAACGGAACCCAAUAAACAUGGCAUAUCUGCCACCAGAGUAGUUGGAACAGAGCAUUCAGUUCGUAGUUCUAAUGCAGAUUUCAGAGGAUGGGGCAGGGGGGUGUCUGUGGAUGACUUUAGAUCUGAGUCAAAAGAUCUAAAUUUGCAUAGGAAAGUUUCCUCCAAUGGUGACUUCUAUAGUCGAAAGUCCUUUGAAGAUUUGGGUCGUAGUGCCUGAAUGAAGGAAUCUUUGAGGAAGCAACAGUUUCUGCACCCCUCACAUAUUCAGGUACAUCAAUAGUAUGACCUACUAGAAGUCAAAGGUUUCAACUUGUUGUUUUCUCUUUUUUGGCCGGUAAAUGAAAGGAACUUGGUCAUUGCUUCCUUACUGCCCGCUUUAGCUGGCAGUAUACUAAAUUUGAGCACGUUCCAAUUAUAUAACAUUAUAUCUACGGUCUGCAUGAUAUCCACAUUGGGCUUUAAAUCAAUGAUGACCUUGUUUCCGUAUAGUUCUAGAGGUAAGCUUGCAUUUGUCAUCAUCAAUAUUUUAUCUGUAAGCAUGAAUUUGGAGCUGAUGGAUGUAGAAGUCAUUGAAGGGCCAACCUAUAGCAUCGGUUUUUGUCUUUUCCUUCUCAUGGGUAUUGAUAAGUAAUUCCAUCAAGAUGUUCUAUCUACAACUUGACAAAAGGAAGAUCUUCUCCUAGUGUACUGCAACUCAGAUUGAUGCUAACUAUGAAUGACUGCAGGCAAUGGCAUUCAAACCUGUAAUUGAGGGAAAGACUUGUAUUAUAGCUGAUCAGAGUGGCUCGGGAAAAACGCUGGCUUAUCUUCCACCAGUAGUCCAAUGUCUCAGACAAGAAGAAUUGCAGGGACUUAGCAAAUCCUUCUCACGAAGCCCUCGAGUUGUCAUUUUGGUGCCAACUGCUGAGUUAGCUUCAUAGGUUGGUAGUCGGUAUCCUUUCUUGUGCCUUUUCUUUUACCCUUACGUGCUUUGGCAAUCAAGUCACCAACUUUUACUUGUUUAUGGCCAUUUUAGGCUCUCAUCCCAUACUGUGAUAGGCUCUUGCUUAAGCAGCAAAUUUGUGGUAAAAAAGCACUGCAAUUUAUUUUCGGCGGCAGUCAAAUUCUUUUGAACAACUCGUCGCCUAUAAUACUCAAAUUGUCAUCUCUUCUUUCAAAAAUGAAAAUAAAAAUAAAAAUAUGGAGAUUCCCAAGUGUUGCAAUCUGAAAGAUUGUAUUGGGUUCCUGCAAAGACAAAUAUGCAAUUUGAGUGGCACAGUUGCUUAUAUGAUGUGCAUAAUCCGUUCAUGUGGCAAAACUGGUAAUCUCUGUGGAGCUGUUGAAAAUGUAGGUGUUCUGAAUUUGGAGACACUCUAUAGUUUGUUUUAUUUAUAGCCAUGUGUGUUUUUGCUAGUAGUUGAUUACAAACUAACGUAGUCCACAUGAGUGAUACUUAAUAUCUAUAGUAAGUUUUAUGCAGGUUUUGAGUAACUGCCGAUCCAUAUCAAAGUGUGGGGCUCCAUUCCGGUCUAUGGUUGCCACGGGUGGUUCAGACAGAAAACUCAGCUGGAAAAUAUAGAAGAAGGUGUUGAUGUCCUAAUAGCCACUCCUGGUCGCUUUAUUUUUCUCAUUAAAGAAGGCUUUUUGGAGUUGGAAGGAUCUUAGAUGGUGAGCCUGCAUUGUAUAAUGUUGCAUGAAUGAGUUUGGGUGCACGAGCUAUUCAAAAUCAUCUUCUUCUCAUCUGUUUUUGAGUAAUGAAUGUAAUUGUGCUACUGUUUCCUAGAUUUAGUACUAUCACCAUGUAUCAUUACCAUUCUUUGAGGAAAGGAAAAUAUUAGCGAAAUUUCUAUUCUUACUCUUACCUACACAGCUGAAACUCGAUUUUCUGGCUUGAGUUAUGGAGACCUUUGCUUUGAUUUACAAAAAGGCUAGAUAUAUUGCUAUCCGUUAGCCCCAGUAGAAACUUUGAGAAAUGACCGGUGACAAAUCGUGAAAGCUCCACUCAUCAUAUUGUUGGAUAUAGGAUAUGAAGUUAAAAAAUCUUUCGUUAAUGGAUUUUCCCGCUAAGAAUUUGAAUGACAUCAAAGCCUGGAUGGUUUUGGCAUUCGGCAGAUUUCAGUCCAUGCUAUACUACAAACAAAGAACUCUAUGUAGCUAUAGUGUACUGAAAAAUAGAAGAAUGGUCGUUGUACAUGUUGCAGAUUCUUUUGCAACUUCUGCUAUAAUUUAUGGCUUUAUGGCGCAGCGUGAUUUUGGACAAGGUGGAUAUUCUCUGCAAGGAUGAGGAGUUUGAAGCAGCUUUUCAAAGCAUAAUCAAUUCUUCACCUGUUGCUACACAGUAUCUGUUUGUGACAGCCACAUUGCCAGUAGAUAUUUAUAGCAAAAUAGUUGAAAUUUUCCCCAACUGUGAAGUGAUCAUGGGACCUGGCAUUCAUCGGACAAGCCCUCACCUUGAAGAGGUUGUUUUAAAGCUGUAUUAUUCCCCCUUCCAUUAUUUGCCAGUGGAUACAUUACUGUUAUCUAAUUUAGGCACACAAGGAUUCACUUCCGUGUAUAUACAUUUUUCUGGAUGCUUUUGGACUAUAUAUUACUCAUAACUAAACUGUCGUUUAUGCUCCCUAAAAGUGAUGGAGCAUUGUUACCUUGAUGCUUUGGAUUUGGGGGUGGAUUGUUACUGCAUAUGAUGGGGGGAGAUGAGAAUUGGAAUGAAAUUUUUUCCUCGAGUGACUCUUAGCACAUAGUAUCGAUCGUCUAUACUAUUCUUGUGGUCAAAAGCAGUCUAUACUAUCUAAAGAUGCCACCAGCAUUCUGUAAGACAUUAAAACUGCUUGGAGGUGAAGAAAAGGAGAAGGCUCUGAAAUUUCAUUGAUCUCGCUGAGAUGAUUGUGGAUUAUAUUAGGAUGCUAUCUCUCUCUUCUUUCCUCAAUUUGCAGAAGAGUUUGUGCAGUUCUCCCGAAAAUUCUUUCUAUUUCACUUUGCCUGUUUGUUGAUUUUCAGAGUUUUACUUUGUACAAAGGUAUUAUACAAACUAAUUUAGGUUGCAUAUACUGGAGAAGGAUUAUUUUCGCGACAGUAAUCCUAGAUAGGCUAAGAGCUUUCUCAUUCAGGUUGAACGGUUAUCUCCUGUUACAUGACAUUGCUUUGUCCUUCCUUCUUGAUGAACAUGUUGCAUAAAUUUGCUAUGGUAGCUGACCAGUGGCAUUCCUCCUAUUUUCCUGUCAAGAAGAAAACUGGCCGAAUACCAUUGUAAUAGAGGAAAAAUUUAACUGUCAC